Molecule: transfer RNA, 75 nt
Filed under: Candidatus Nealsonbacteria bacterium CG_4_10_14_0_2_um_filter_37_10
Lineage: Bacteria; Candidatus Nealsoniibacteriota
Also listed under: 2 other names
Description: tRNA-Arg
Rfam family: tRNA
About the family: Transfer RNA (tRNA) molecules are approximately 80 nucleotides in length. Their secondary structure includes four short double-helical elements and three loops (D, anti-codon, and T loops).
Source: RNAcentral
GUCCCCAUAGCUUAAUGGAUAAAGCGCAACCCUCCGGAGGUUGAAAUGAGGGUUCAAUUCCUUCUGGGGACACAA